GACGAACGCUGGCGGCGUGCUUAACACAUGCAAGUCGAACGGAAAGGCCCUGCUUUUGUGGGGUGCUCGAGUGGCGAACGGGUGAGUAACACGUGAGUAACCUGCCCUUGACUUUGGGAUAACUACAGGAAACUGAGGCUAAUACCGGAUAGGAGCUCCUGCUGCAUGGUGGGGGUUGGAAAGUUUCGGCGGUUGGGGAUGGACUCGCGGCUUAUCAGCUUGUUGGUGGGGUAGUGGCUUACCAAGGCUUUGACGGGUAGCCGGCCUGAGAGGGUGACCGGCCACAUUGGGACUGAGAUACGGCCCAGACUCCUACGGGAGGCAGCAGUGGGGAAUAUUGCACAAUGGGCGGAAGCCUGAUGCAGCAACGCCGCGUGCGGGAUGACGGCCUUCGGGUUGUAAACCGCUUUCGCCUGUGACGAAGCGUGAGUGACGGUAAUGGGUAAAGAAGCACCGGCUAACUACGUG
RNAcentral lists this ribosomal RNA (468 nucleotides) under uncultured bacterium. Its description in RNAcentral is "partial 16S ribosomal RNA". It matches the Rfam family "Bacterial small subunit ribosomal RNA", at positions 28 to 507 of the family's 1533-position model. The record is from RNAcentral.